CCCGGCCUGCGGACCCUACUGGAGGAGCCGAGCUGCGCGAGUCCGGCGGCAGCGGGUGAGAGACUGCAAGCCUCACCUGCGGAGGGCAGGCUCGGCUUCCUCUGGCGCCUUCCGGGUAAGGCCCCGCCGGCGCUGCGGGAGGACCGACCUCCCUGCCCGCCGCUGGGGAGACCGAGGCUCCGCGGGGCCAUCCGGGGCCGAGGGGACGCGGCCGGGGCAGGACUCCUGCCCACGCCCGACACUAGUGGCUGGCCAGGGCCGAUUCCACUCCCCGCGUCGAGUGCCCGCAUCACCCCUGCGCGGAGGGUGUUUCCCCAAGAAGGAAACCGGCUCAGACGGAGCGUGAAACUUGAGGGUCACACAGCCAGCGAGGCUGGGUGCGGACGCACGCCGCCCGGGCCACCUGGGGGAUCUGAACAGACCGAUUGGCUCCGCAGGUGGCCGCCCAUCGCGGGCCGCUCCUCUGCCCGACCUCGGGCUUCCUCUGCCCCGAGCUGCGUUCUGGAUCCUCAUCACUCCCCUAGAGCACCCCCAAACUCUGUCUCCAGCCCAGGCCCCGUCCCCACGUGUUUCAUCUCCUCUGCCUCAAUCAGGUGGGCUCUCCAGGGAAUUAGCCCACCCUCUGACGACUGGAAACCAGGCCCGCCUGCCCCCUCCUCUCCGUCCCGGCUGCCUGGACUGGACCCUGCCCUCCCGGCCUCCACCUCCAGUCCAGCCCCACAGGCUGCCAGCGAGGCCUCCCUGUUUUCUAUUUUCAAAACUUUCUUGUGGAAGUUUAUUACACGUGUAGGGAAAAGUACAAAUCACAGAUACACAACUCACCUAACUUCACCAAGAGUAUGCGAACAGCAUACAAACGCAGAAACCAAACACCCCCGACGCGAAGUCCCAGCCCCUCCUUCAUCACUACUGCCCAAGGACAACCAUUAUCAUGACUUUAAUGCCACCGAUGGGUCUGGCUGGGUUCUUGCCUUAUGUAAACGUUUUGUAUUGUAUUCAGUAUAUUGUAUUUACCUGACUGGAGAACCUGUUUACACACUGUCAAAAAUUCAAGAGCAACAGAGUCUUACAUACAGUGGUCAAACAUCCUUCACACUCUGCCCCUCAGAGACCUGUCCCUGCAGAAAAAGCCUGUUCUUACUUGCUAGCCAGAGAGCAAAUACGGACUGCAGCAGUAUGCAGGCUUUUUUUUUUUUUUUUUCCUUCUUGCAUUUUGGCACAAAUGGGAGCACUGUUUACACACUAUGUUUGUCCCAUCUGUGCCCCGUCACCCCCCUCCUUAACAUCUCUCAGACAUUUCUCCACAUGGUUACUUAA
RNAcentral lists this long non-coding RNA (1317 nucleotides) under Bos grunniens (domestic yak). Its description in RNAcentral is "lncRNA (ENSBGRG00000022935.1)". The record is from RNAcentral. Lineage: Eukaryota; Metazoa; Chordata; Mammalia; Artiodactyla; Bovidae.